This is a long non-coding RNA of Beta vulgaris subsp. vulgaris (sugar beet), 719 nucleotides long. RefSeq lists it as uncharacterized. Lineage: Eukaryota; Viridiplantae; Streptophyta; Magnoliopsida; Caryophyllales; Amaranthaceae. The record is from RefSeq and is a predicted model, not a curated record. The transcript has 2 exons.
UCCAUUUUUUUCAAUGGAGUCUAUCCACAACUCCACAAGACCACAACUUGAUUUAUAUUUUUUUUUUUUAAAUUAAAAAAAAAAGUCAUCCAUAGCACGCAUGUGCAGCUAGUAAUAAACAAAUGAACACUGAAAUGCGUGUGUAAUUGAUUAGUCAAACUACAACAAUCAUUUCGGGGCCAAGUAAUAUUAUAAGUAGAGGUGUAUCCGUCGGUUCUAUCAUAGUGAAUCAUAAAUUCUAGGCUUCUAGCUUGCUAAGAGAUCAAAGGUACCACCGCCAUUGUUAUUUGUUGAGGAAAAAAAAAGAGAGAUCAAGAAAAAGGGAGAAAAAGAAAAAAUGAAUAGUCAAAAGGAGCGCUCUCAAACAAAAAAACCUACCUCCAAUGUCGUCGCUCCACUUUCAGUCACAAAGCAGGAACUUGUCGUCACAACUGUUGAAGUUGUGUAUACUGAGAGGACAUUGCGGGAGAUGAAAGCCAAACCUACAAAACCACCUAUUAAAUCAGGAAAGAGUGGCCAAAAACACUAAUCAAAUCAUAAACAUAUAUAUGUUGCAAGCUACACUUCAAUAGAUCAACUUUGUUAUUCAAUAAGUCUAGUUAUCGUUUGUUUUAAUUAGUAUACUUGUUAAGUAAAUAAAUACUACAUGCUUAGCAUGGCAUAUAUACAUUGGUUUGUAAUUAGUAUUUGGUAAUUGCUUAAUAUUAUUUUCAUUUUCA